UACGGGGGGGGCAAGCGUUGUUCGGAUUUACUGGGCGUAAAGGGCGCGUAGGCGGCGCAACAAGUCACUUGUGAAAUCUCCGGGCUUAACUCGGAGCGGCCAAGUGAUACUGUCGUGCUAGAGUGCGGAAGGGGCAACUGGAAUUCUCGGUGUAGCGGUGAAAUGCGUAGAUAUCGAGAGGAACACCUGCGGCGAAGGCGGGUUGCUGGGCCGACACUGACGCUGAGGCGCGAAAGCCAGGGGAGCGAACGGG
This 253-nucleotide ribosomal RNA is filed under the name uncultured bacterium. RNAcentral describes it as "partial 16S ribosomal RNA". It matches the Rfam family "Bacterial small subunit ribosomal RNA", at positions 524 to 776 of the family's 1533-position model. The record is from RNAcentral.